GGACACAGGCGCGGAAAGAGCAGGAGGGUCAUCUUUUGGAGCCGCUUGAGCUGGACAGUCUUCUUUUUUAACUACAGGACUUUCCUUGCGUACUGGGGGAGCAGCAAAUACAGGAAUUGCUUGCCUAAUGGAAACCGGUGGAGCGAUCCGUACGGGUGGGACUCGAAUUACUUGCUGUGGUGGAAGCUUUGAUGGUUGUGGUAGAGGCGGGGCAGAAUACACAGGCAUUGCUGUUCUAAUUGUAACUGGUGGGGCAAUACCAUGGCAAGAUGUCCUAAACUGGUGAACG
This 289-nucleotide unclassified non-coding RNA is filed under the name Hevea brasiliensis (rubber tree). The record is from RNAcentral. Lineage: Eukaryota; Viridiplantae; Streptophyta; Magnoliopsida; Malpighiales; Euphorbiaceae.